GGUUGAUCCUGCCAGUAGUCAUAUGCUUGUCUCAAAGAUUAAGCCAUGCAUGUCUAAGUAUAAGCUGCUUAUACUGUGAAACUGCGAAUGGCUCAUUAAAUCAGUUAUAGUUUAUUUGAUGAUACCUUACUACACGGAUAACCGUAGUAAUUCUAGAGCUAAUACGUGCGUAAAUCCCGACUCUUGGAAGGGACGUAUUUAUUAGAUAAAAGGCCGACCGAGCUUUGCUCGACCCGAGGUGACUCAUGAUAACUUCACGAAUCGCAUGGCCUCUGUGCCGGCGAUGUUUCAUU
RNAcentral lists this ribosomal RNA (293 nucleotides) under uncultured eukaryote. RNAcentral's name for it is "partial 18S ribosomal RNA". It matches the Rfam family "Eukaryotic small subunit ribosomal RNA", at positions 6 to 299 of the family's 1831-position model. The record is from RNAcentral.